AGAGUUUGAUCCUGGCUCAGAUUGAACGCUGGCGGCAGGCCUAACACAUGCAAGUCGAGCGGCAGCGGGAAAGUAGCUUGCUACUUUUGCCGGCGAGCGGCGGACGGGUGAGUAAUGCCUGGGGAUCUGCCCAGUCGAGGGGGAUAACUACUGGAAACGGUAGCUAAUACCGCAUACGCCCUACGGGGGAAAGCAGGGGACCUUCGGGCCUUGCGCGAUUGGAUGAACCCAGGUGGGAUUAGCUAGUUGGUGAGGUAAUGGCUCACCAAGGCGACGAUCCCUAGCUGGUCUGAGAGGAUGAUCAGCCACCACUGGAACUGAGACAC
Molecule: ribosomal RNA, 326 nt
Filed under: uncultured bacterium
Lineage: Bacteria
Description: bacterial SSU rRNA
Rfam family: Bacterial small subunit ribosomal RNA
Source: RNAcentral